RNAcentral lists this ribosomal RNA (456 nucleotides) under uncultured Acidovorax sp. RNAcentral describes it as "bacterial SSU rRNA". It matches the Rfam family "Bacterial small subunit ribosomal RNA", at positions 924 to 1382 of the family's 1533-position model. The record is from RNAcentral. Lineage: Bacteria; Pseudomonadati; Pseudomonadota; Betaproteobacteria; Burkholderiales; Comamonadaceae.
CACAAGCGGUGGAUGAUGUGGUUUAAUUCGAUGCAACGCGAAAACCUUACCCACCUUUGACAUGUACGGAAUCCUUUAGAGAUAGAGGAGUGCUCGAAAGAGAGCCGUAACACAGGUGCUGCAUGGCUGUCGUCAGCUCGUGUCGUGAGAUGUUGGGUUAAGUCCCGCAACGAGCGCAACCCUUGUCAUUAGUUGCUACAUUCAGUUGGGCACUCUAAUGAGACUGCCGGUGACAAACCGGAGGAAGCGGGGAUGACGUCAAGUCCUCAUGGCCCUUACAUCCCGGGCUACACACGUGCUACAAUGGCAGGUACAGAGGGCUGCAAAGCCGCGAGGUAGAGCGAAUCCCAGAAAACCUGUCUCAGUCUGGAUUGAAGUCUGCAACUCGACUUCAUGAAGGCGGAAUCGCUAGUAACCGCGAAUCAGCAGGUCGCGGUGAAUACGUUCCCGGGCCUU